RNAcentral lists this ribosomal RNA (465 nucleotides) under Vreelandella stevensii. RNAcentral describes it as "partial 16S ribosomal RNA". It matches the Rfam family "Bacterial small subunit ribosomal RNA", at positions 338 to 795 of the family's 1533-position model. Lineage: Bacteria; Pseudomonadati; Pseudomonadota; Gammaproteobacteria; Oceanospirillales; Halomonadaceae. The record is from RNAcentral.
CCUACGGGCGGCAGCAGUGGGGAAUAUUGGACAAUGGGCGAAAGCCUGAUCCAGCCAUGCCGCGUGUGUGAAGAAGGCCUUCGGGUUGUAAAGCACUUUCAGUGGGGAAGAAAGCCUUGGGGCUAAUACCCUCGAGGAAGGACAUCACCCACAGAAGAAGCACCGGCUAACUCCGUGCCAGCAGCCGCGGUAAUACGGAGGGUGCGAGCGUUAAUCGGAAUUACUGGGCGUAAAGCGCGCGUAGGCGGUCUGAUAAGCCGGUUGUGAAAGCCCCGGGCUCAACCUGGGAACGGCAUCCGGAACUGUCAGGCUAGAGUGCAGGAGAGGAAGGUAGAAUUCCCGGUGUAGCGGUGAAAUGCGUAGAGAUCGGGAGGAAUACCAGUGGCGAAGGCGGACUUCUGGACUGACACUGACGCUGAGGUGCGAAAGCGUGGGUAGCAAACAGGAUUAGAUACCCGGGUAGUC